UACGUAGGGUGCGAGCGUUGUCCGGAAUUAUUGGGCGUAAAGGGCUCGUAGGCGGUUUGUCGCGUCGGGAGUGAAAACCUUGGGCUUAACUCAGGGCUUGCUUUCGAUACGGGCAGACUAGAGGUAUGCAGGGGAGAACGGAAUUCCUGGUGUAGCGGUGAAAUGCGCAGAUAUCAGGAGGAACACCGGUGGCGAAGGCGGUUCUCUGGGCAUGAUCUGACGCUGAGGAGCGAAAGUGUGGGGAACGAACAGG
Molecule: ribosomal RNA, 253 nt
Filed under: uncultured bacterium
Lineage: Bacteria
Description: partial 16S ribosomal RNA
Rfam family: Bacterial small subunit ribosomal RNA
Source: RNAcentral